This is a non-coding RNA of Theobroma cacao (cacao), 389 nucleotides long. The record is from RefSeq and is a predicted model, not a curated record. Lineage: Eukaryota; Viridiplantae; Streptophyta; Magnoliopsida; Malvales; Malvaceae.
CAUGGGUACAUGAAGGACUCAAAGUGGAAAAGAAAAACGGAAGUGCAAAGAUAAGGUUAGAGUACUGUGGUGGUGUGCCAGAAUAAACAACGAGUGACCGGCCAGUGAAAAUAAUCAAAGACACCUCCGAUCAAAUAGCGAAGUAAUAUCCCGCUUUCGGAAGGUAUUCCUGAGUCAAAGGUGAUUGGAUCCUAGGACAAGGUGCUCCUUCCUAUCCAUUGCUUGGUAGGUUUACCAUGACAUUAAAUGUUAGCAACCAUGCCCAUAGUCACUCUGCUGAUGGUUAAGUUUUAAUUAUGUGUAUAUGACUACUUGUUGUGAAAUGCUGAGAUUCACUAGUCAAAUUAUAUGUAUGUAUAUAAUGGUUGAUGGUGCCAUUAUGAAUACAU